AUUAUCUUUGGUUGCUCAGUUGUGAAUCCAGGUGACAAUCAGGACGAACGAUUCCUGCCCUGCUUGAGUCCUGCCCUGCCUUGGCUCCCCUCAAUAAUGGACUGUAAUCUGGAAGUAUGAGAGAACAUAAAUUCAUUCCUCUUCAAAUUGUUUCUGGCCACGGUGUUUAUCACAGCAAAGCAGGACAGCUUAUGACGUCUGGCUAUCUGAUACUCGGAAUCGCUGUCAGCAAAGGCCUUGCCUCCGGAGAAAAUAAACAGAGACAAUGUCCCAUGAGCUCAUCUCACAGACCAUCUUCAAAGCUGAGUGGCCAGACUCAAGGAACAUCUCUCUCUGACAGACCAUCUCAAGACACAUAGGAAUGGUUGAAAUCCCUAAACAAGAUGAGAAGAAAAGCUCUCUUCAUCUGAGCAGUGGGCGUUUGUCCUGCGAGGACGGUUCUUCCUGGAAUUCAAGAUGACACAAGUUAUGGACAGUAACUUACCACGGUGCCUUCCGCCAAAGUAAAGGAGCCAGACGCCAAAGGAAGGCGAAGAUGCCAGACUUUCAUCUGGCUUUUAAGUAGUUACAGGCCAAAGUCAAGAGUCCGUGCUUCUUACGAAAUGCGGUUUCUGGGUGCCCGCCCCUCCACAUCUCAUACACCCCACAAUUUAGGACAGAU
Molecule: long non-coding RNA, 661 nt
Organism: Mus musculus (house mouse)
Lineage: Eukaryota; Metazoa; Chordata; Mammalia; Rodentia; Muridae
Product: predicted gene, 40748
Exons: 3
Source: RefSeq, a predicted model, not a curated record